This is a long non-coding RNA of Harpia harpyja (harpy eagle), 756 nucleotides long. RefSeq lists it as uncharacterized. The record is from RefSeq and is a predicted model, not a curated record. The transcript is spliced from 3 exons. Lineage: Eukaryota; Metazoa; Chordata; Aves; Accipitriformes; Accipitridae.
CCCGCCGGGCGGGCAGGAAGGGCCCCGCCGCCGCGGGCAGCCCCGGGCGGCGCAGGAAGCCCUGCCGGCCCCUCCACCGCUCCCGCCCCGCGCCGCGGCUCCGGCAGUGAUAAAGUGCAGCUGAAUUGAUCCACCUUGUGACCACACAGCCGGAGGAUCGAGGAAGGCAGAAACCUGGAAGUGAGGGAAAGCAGAACUGCUCCUUUCAGCAGCUGUCUGUCAUUAAAUCAGCUUAACUGCAUCCUGUGCGCAUGACUUCAUGAGCCACGCAAACCAGGCCAACCCAGUUUUCUCUUGACAGCCUGUGAAGCUCUUCACUUCAGCAUCUGACCCAUUUCCCCCGCCUGCCCCCCUGCCCCCAGCGCCUCUUCAAGGCUUCAAAACUUGAGGCAUCUUCAAAUGACUGCGCAGCCCGUGUCCUGCCCAUGAUUCACCCAGGGAAUCGAGACAGGGUGCCUGCUAUUGACUUUUCAUCACUCAAAGAUGAGAGAGCUCAGGAGCAUCCUGAGCUGCUGGGUUUUUUGCUGCUGUUCUUUGAACAAGAAUUAUGGCACUGGUCAGAGGACGGGUGGAAGGGGGUGUGCAAGGUGGCGUUUGUAACCCUAAAUGGAACUCUUUUUGCAUUUCCUUUAGUCCUUUGGUCCCAUUUAAGAAUCACUGAGCCAUGAUGACAAGGGCAAAACUAAUGUAAAUACAGCCAAAAGCAUUGUUUGGUGCGUUGCAAAACUUUUGCUUUAAUAAAAACCCAAAGAAGAA